GUAGAGAUGGCUUAGUGGUUAAAAGCACCGACUGCUACUCCAGAGGUCCUGGGUUCAAUUCCCAGCACCCACA
RNAcentral lists this transfer RNA (73 nucleotides) under Cricetulus griseus (Chinese hamster). It matches the Rfam family "tRNA". Rfam says of the family: Transfer RNA (tRNA) molecules are approximately 80 nucleotides in length. Their secondary structure includes four short double-helical elements and three loops (D, anti-codon, and T loops). Further hydrogen bonds mediate the characteristic L-shaped molecular structure. tRNAs have two regions of fundamental functional importance: the anti-codon, which is responsible for specific mRNA codon recognition, and the 3' end, to which the tRNAs corresponding amino acid is attached (by aminoacyl-tRNA synthetases). tRNAs cope with the degeneracy of the genetic code in two manners: having more than one tRNA (with a specific anti-codon) for a particular amino acid; and 'wobble' base-pairing, i.e. permitting non-standard base-pairing at the 3rd anti-codon position. The record is from Rfam by way of RNAcentral. Lineage: Eukaryota; Metazoa; Chordata; Mammalia; Rodentia; Cricetidae.